UGCAGUCGCGUGCGCAGUUCCCGUAGCAAUACGGGGAUGGGCGCACGGCGCACGGGUGCGUAACACGUGGGCAAUCUGCCCUCCGGCGGGGAAUAACCCCGCGAAAGCGGGGCUAAUUCCGCAUAACAUUCCGGGGACCUCGGUUCCUGGAUUCAAAGCAGUGAUGCGUCGGAGGAGGAGCCCGCGCCCGAUUAGCUAGUUGGUGAGGUAACGGCUCACCAAGGCAAUGAUCGGUAGCUGGUCUGAGAGGAUGGCCAGCCACACUGGAACUGAGACACGGUCCAGACUCCUACGGGAGGCCGUGGGGAAUCUUGCCAAUGGGAGAAAGCCUGAGCAGCGACGCCGCGUGGGGGAUGAAGCUUCUCGGAGGUAAACCCCUUUCACUGGACAAUGCCCCAAGGGAGUGACGGUACCAGAAAGAAGCCCCGGCUAAUACGUGCCGCGCCGCGGUAAGACGUAGGGGGCCAGCGUUUCGAGUUAUGGGUGUAGAGGGUCGGAGCGGUGGCAAUGUUGGAGUGAGAUCUCUGGUAACCGAGCUGCUUCGAAUUGUGU
This 552-nucleotide ribosomal RNA is filed under the name uncultured bacterium. RNAcentral's name for it is "bacterial SSU rRNA". It matches the Rfam family "Bacterial small subunit ribosomal RNA", at positions 56 to 636 of the family's 1533-position model. The record is from RNAcentral.